GACGAACGCUGGCGGCGUGCUUAACACAUGCAAGUCGAACGGAAAGGCCCUGCUUUUGUGGGGUGCUCGAGUGGCGAACGGGUGAGUAACACGUGAGUAACCUGCCCUUGACUUUGGGAUAACUUCAGGAAACUGGGGCUAAUACCGGAUAGGAGCUCCUGCUGCAUGGUGGGGGUUGGAAAGUUUCGGCGGUUGGGGAUGGACUCGCGGCUUAUCAGCUUGUUGGUGGGGUAGUGGCUUACCAAGGCUUUGACGGGUAGCCGGCCUGAGAGGGUGACCGGCCACAUUGGGACUGAGAUACGGCCCAGACUCCUACGGGAGGCAGCAGUGGGGAAUAUUGCACAAUGGGCGGAAGCCUGAUGCAGCAACGCCGCGUGCGGGAUGACGGCCUUCGGGUUGUAAACCGCUUUCGCCUGUGACGAAGCGUGAGUGACGGUAAUGGGUAAAGAAGCACCGGCUAACUACGUGCCAGCAGCCGCGGUGAUACGUAGGGUGCGAGCGUUGUCCGGAUUUAUUGGGCGUAAAGGGCUCGUAGGUGGUUGAUCGCGUCGGAGGUGUAAUCUUGGGGCUUAACCCUGAGCGUGCUUUCGAUACGGGUUGACUUGAGGAAGGUAGGGGAGAAUGGAAUUCCUGGUGGAGCGGUGGAAUGCGCAGAUAUCAGGAGGAACACCAGUGGCGAAGGCGGUUCUCUGGGCCUUUCCUGACGCUGAGGAGCGAAAGCGUGGGGAGCGAACAGGCUUAGAUACCCUGGUAGUCCACGCUGUAAACGGUGGGUACUAGGUGUGGGGUCCAUUCCACGGGUUCCGUGCCGUAGCUAACGCUUUAAGUACCCCGCCUGGGGAGUACGGCCGCAAGGCUAAAACUCAAAGGAAUUGACGGGGCCCCGCACAAGCGGCGGAGCAUGCGGAUUAAUUCGAUGCAACGCGUAGAACCUUACCUGGGUUUGACAUGGAUCGGGAGCGCUCAGAGAUGGGUGUGCCUCUUUUGGGGUCGGUUCACAGGUGGUGCAUGGCUGUCGUCAGCUCGUGUCGUGAGACGUUGGGUUAAGUCCCGCAACGAGCGCAACCCUUGUUCACUGUUGCCAGCACGUUAUGGUGGGGACUCAGUGGAGACCGCCGGGGUCAACUCGGAGGAAGGUGGGGAUGACGUCAAGUCAUCAUGCCCCUUAUGUCCAGGGCUUCACGCAUGCUACAAUGGCUGGUACAGAGAGUGGCGAGCCUGUGAGGGUGAGCGAAUCUCGGAAAGCCGGUCUCAGUUCGGAUUGGGGUCUGCAACUCGACCUCAUGAAGUCGGAGUCGCUAGUAAUCGCAGAUCAGCAACGCUGCGGUGAAUACGUUCCCGGG
This 1343-nucleotide ribosomal RNA is filed under the name uncultured bacterium. RNAcentral's name for it is "16S ribosomal RNA". It matches the Rfam family "Bacterial small subunit ribosomal RNA", at positions 28 to 1378 of the family's 1533-position model. The record is from RNAcentral.